AUAUGUGAAAGUGUUUAACAGAAUGCUUACUUUGGAAUGGUGAUAAGCAUUAAAAAAAAGACUGAAAUAUAC
This is a regulatory RNA element of Camelus ferus (Wild Bactrian camel), 72 nucleotides long. It matches the Rfam family "GAIT element". Rfam says of the family: This family represents a cis-acting element in the 3'-UTR of the ceruloplasmin (Cp) gene called gamma interferon inhibitor of translation (GAIT). NCBI's taxonomy places the organism in Eukaryota, Metazoa, Chordata, Mammalia, Artiodactyla, Camelidae. The record is from Rfam.